Molecule: long non-coding RNA, 798 nt
Organism: Anguilla anguilla (European eel)
Lineage: Eukaryota; Metazoa; Chordata; Actinopteri; Anguilliformes; Anguillidae
Exons: 2
Source: RefSeq, a predicted model, not a curated record
UAAUUCAGCCAGUGCAUUCUUGCAUGAGCUUUUCUGAAAUACAAAAAACAAAGCAAAAUACAUUAACUUAGUUUCCUAAAAUUGGGCGCAGCAUUAAAAUUGGUGUAUCAAUCCAGUAAUGUUUUCUCAGAUUCAUACCUUUCCACAAUUAAGAUAAUUAAAAAGCUGUUUACAUAAGAACUUCCCUAGUUGGAGUAUUGCCUUAAUCGGGUUCAACUCUGAUUUUAGUGUGCAUGUAUAGCCGAGAUCUGCGUUUUUCUGCGCUUAAAUGGUGAUUAAUGGCAGGUGAGCGGAUGAGAGGCUACUCUGUUGCGAGUGCGUUUUUUUUCCACAAGAGAGAGCCAAAUCUAUUGACUUGUACCCUGCAAUAAUUCAGCCAGUGCAUUCCUGCAUCAGCUUUUCCUAGUCGUUUAAUACAGAUGCUCCGACUUAAACUUACAUUUUUCCCAUAGGGAUUUAAUUUUUUGCCGAAAAUAAGGUCUGUGGUUAACGUAAGUCUAGGAGAGGUCCACGUUUUGUUCUACGAGAUAAAUUACAACCGUUAUUAUCACCACCGUGGAUUUCUAAGCUGUUACGUGCUUUCAAUAAGUAACUUGCUAUAUUUGUAUUUUUGAAAGCAUGGGAUUUGUAGUCAAUAAGUAGUUGUGACUGCUAAAUCGGAUCUGACGUUGGACUUCGAAAGGCCAUGUGCUGCACAACAACAGUGCUCGACCGAAAGGAAGCUGUAGUUUACGGGGUGUGCAUCAGUGGAAUUGGUGCAGGGAGCUACAGGUGAAGGGUUUGCUUCCCUCUGCUGGA